RNAcentral lists this ribosomal RNA (688 nucleotides) under Escherichia coli. RNAcentral's name for it is "partial 23S ribosomal RNA". It matches the Rfam family "Bacterial large subunit ribosomal RNA", at positions 1 to 720 of the family's 2925-position model. Lineage: Bacteria; Pseudomonadati; Pseudomonadota; Gammaproteobacteria; Enterobacterales; Enterobacteriaceae. The record is from RNAcentral.
GGGUUGUGAGGUUAAGCGACUAAGCGUACACGGUGGAUGCCCUGGCAGUCAGAGGCGAUGAAGGACGUGCUAAUCUGCGAUAAGCGUCGGUAAGGUGAUAUGAACCGUUAUAACCGGCGAUUUCCGAAUGGGGAAACCCAGUGUGAUUCGUCACACUAUCAUUAACUGAAUCCAUAGGUUAAUGAGGCGAACCGGGGGAACUGAAACAUCUAAGUACCCCGAGGAAAAGAAAUCAACCGAGAUUCCCCCAGUAGCGGCGAGCGAACGGGGAGCAGCCCAGAGCCUGAAUCAGUGUGUGUGUUAGUGGAAGCGUCUGGAAAGGCGCGCGAUACAGGGUGACAGCCCCGUACACAAAAAUGCACAUAUUGUGAGCUCGAUGAGUAGGGCGGGACACGUGGUAUCCUGUCUGAAUAUGGGGGGACCAUCCUCCAAGGCUAAAUACUCCUGACUGACCGAUAGUGAACCAGUACCGUGAGGGAAAGGCGAAAAGAACCCCGGCGAGGGGAGUGAAAAAGAACCUGAAACCGUGUACGUACAAGCAGUGGGAGCACAGAGCAAUCUGUGUGACUGCGUACCUUUUGUAUAAUGGGUCAGCGACUUAUAUUCUGUAGCAAGGUUAACCGAAUAGGGGAGCCGAAGGGAAACCGAGUCUUAACUGGGCGUUAAGUUGCAGGGUAUAGACCCGAAA